RNAcentral lists this long non-coding RNA (323 nucleotides) under Solanum tuberosum (potato). RNAcentral describes it as "long non-coding RNA (STUB_LNC003619)". The record is from RNAcentral. Lineage: Eukaryota; Viridiplantae; Streptophyta; Magnoliopsida; Solanales; Solanaceae.
AAAAAGUACAACUGCAAGUUUCACACUUUUGUUUCUCUGGGAUAUAAAGAAUCUAUCAAGUGAUGCAUCUGUCCCUGAACCCUAAAUGUAUAAAUACCACAAUUUCGCUUAGCUAAAUCUCUGUCGUAAUUAACACCAAGUGAAGUAAAUGCAAAUAGAUUGUUAUAUGUUCUGAUGUAUGUUUGAAAAUGCUUUGAUUCUGCAUCAUUUCCCAUAUAUAAAUUUUUCAGAGUAGCUGGCAUGCGAUGGGAGGUUAAUUUGAUCGUACCUUUGCCACAGCAGAAUCCGGGGGAUUCAUAUUGAAAUCUUUUGGCAGCGCAAAA